GGGGAUGUCUUGGAUUCGCCAGGGCAUUUAUAUUUAAGUUAUAAGCAGGCAGAGCUGAUUUCUCUUAAAACUAAUCAAAAAAAACAAACGCAAAUUUUAAUCAAAAUCAAAAUUUAGCAUUCGCUUUCUAGUAUGAAGGCAAAAGAUAAUUUGUAAUCUUAGUCCAAGUUAUCUAAAAAUUAUAAGAUAUAUUAAUAAUCUCGCUUAGGAUAUUAAUGAAAAAAUAAGCAAAAUUAUUUAAUGUUGUUUCUCACCACUAUUAAAUAAUUAUCAUGAUGAGAAAGCCUGUAGAAAGUAAUUUGGGUUGUGUCUUGUACAGGGGUUCGAUUCCCCUCAUCUCCACCA
This 345-nucleotide transfer-messenger RNA is filed under the name Acholeplasmatales bacterium. It matches the Rfam family "transfer-messenger RNA". From Rfam's summary of the family: Bacterial tmRNA, also known as 10Sa RNA or SsrA, is named for its dual tRNA and mRNA-like properties. Its role is to liberate the mRNA from a stalled ribosome. Lineage: Bacteria; Bacillati; Mycoplasmatota; Mollicutes; Acholeplasmatales. The record is from RNAcentral.